Molecule: ribosomal RNA, 253 nt
Filed under: uncultured bacterium
Lineage: Bacteria
Description: partial 16S ribosomal RNA
Rfam family: Bacterial small subunit ribosomal RNA
Source: RNAcentral
UACGUAGGGUGCGAGCGUUAAUCGGAAUUACUGGGCGUAAAGCGUGCGCAGGCGGUUUUGUAAGCCAGAUGUGAAAGCCCCGGGCUUAACCUGGGAAUGGCACUUGGGACUGCAAGGCUUGAGUGCGGCAGAGGAGACUGGAAUUCCUGGUGUAGCAGUGAAAUGCGCAGAUAUCAGGAAGAACACCCGUGGCGAAAGCGGCUCUCUGGAACGGUACUGACGCUGAGACGCGAAAGCGUGGGGAGCGAACAGG